GACGAACGCUGGCGGCGUGCUUAACACAUGCAAGUCGAGCGGUAAGGCCCUUUCGGGGGUACACGAGCGGCGAACGGGUGAGUAACACGUGGGUGACCUGCCUUCAGCUCUGGGAUAAGCCUGGGAAACUGGGUCUAAUACUGGAUAUUACUCUGCGGUGCAUGCCGUGGGGUGGAAAGCCCUGUGCGGCUGGGGAUGGGCCCGCGGCCUAUCAGCUUGUUGGUGGGGUGAUGGCCUACCAAGGCGACGACGGGUAGCCGGCCUGAGAGGGCGACCGGCCACACUGGGACUGAGACACGGCCCAGACUCCUACGGGAGGCAGCAGUGGGGAAUCUUGCGCAAUGGGCGAAAGCCUGACGCAGCGACGCCGCGUGAGGGAUGACGGCCUGG
Molecule: ribosomal RNA, 390 nt
Filed under: uncultured bacterium
Lineage: Bacteria
Description: bacterial SSU rRNA
Rfam family: Bacterial small subunit ribosomal RNA
Source: RNAcentral